RNAcentral lists this long non-coding RNA (827 nucleotides) under Struthio camelus australis. RNAcentral's name for it is "lncRNA (ENSSCUG00000008503.1)". The record is from RNAcentral. Lineage: Eukaryota; Metazoa; Chordata; Aves; Struthioniformes; Struthionidae.
CUCUGGCAUAGGCUGGGAUCCCCCUUGUGCUUCUAGCUUGCUACCAUAUCUGGUAUCUCUGUUCUACUUGUGGCUAAUGGCUUUCAGUCCUUUCCCUUUGCUUGCCAGUCAUGUUCCCUGGGGAUCCCAGGCCUGUCAGGAUACACACACACAGAGGACCAUGCUCCCAGCCACCCUCUCCUUGAUGCUAACCCAUUUGCUUUCCUGUUACAGUACCUGUGACUGACCCUGCCUCCUCCACUAGCUCCUUUUCCCAGCUGAUGUCUUUUGCCAGCUCUGGUAAGUGUCCUUGCUUGGAGAAGCUGGUGGUGGGACUCCAUGUUGUGCUACCUGGCAGCAUCCCAGCCUUUGAAUCCACAGCUCCCUCGGGUGGCCCAGAGCCAAAGGGACCCUGCAGUGGUCUUUCCUCUCCUGUUCCAGCCUCCACUGCUGUUGACCCAAUGCCUCCCACCAGCUCAGAUGACAGCGAGGAUGGAGACAGCAGGGGAUUCCUUGUUACAUUUUCCCAUCUCUUGGCAAAAGCCAUUCAUUUAGUGUGUUACAAGUACCAAAAGGUGUUUGGGCAGCUUUUUGGUUGAAAGAUGAUGAGUGUGGGAGUGGGCAGGGGAACGGAAGGAGUCUCCCAUCCCUGCAGCGACAUCUGCCACUCACUGAUGUUGAAUCCCAGAUGAUGAUCUUGAUGCCAGCUCCUCUCACAGUUGACUUUGACCCUACCUGGCAUCUCUGAAGACUGCGGAGCUAACCCCACUGACAUCUGCCCGGUCGCAGCAUCUGAUCAAUGCUAAAUUCAAAAUAAAGUCCAAACUAUAGAGCUGAGCCUGCCUCCU